GACGAACGCUGGCGGCGUGCUUAACACAUGCAAGUCGAACGGAAAGGCCCUGCUGUUGGGGGGUGCCCGAGUGGCGAACGGGUGAGUAACACGUGAGUAACCGGCCCUUGACUUUGGGAUAACUUCAGGUAACUGGGGCUAAUACCGGAUAGGAGCUCCUGCUGCAUGGGGGGGGUUGGAAAGUUUCGGCGGAUGGGGAUGGACUCGCGGCUUAUAAGCUGGCUGGUAGGGUAGUGGCUUACAAAGGCGUUGACGGGUAGCCGGCGUGAGAGGGUGAGCAGCCACAUUGGGACUGAGACACGGCCCAAACUCCUACGGGAGGCAGCAGUGGGGAAUAGUGGACAAUGGGCGAAAGCCUGAUCCAGCCAUGCCGCGUGAGUGAUGAAGGCCCUAGGGUUGUAAAGCUCUUUUGUGCGGGAAGAUAAUGACGGUACCGAAAGAAUAAGCCCCGGCUAACUUCGUG
Molecule: ribosomal RNA, 463 nt
Filed under: uncultured bacterium
Lineage: Bacteria
Description: partial 16S ribosomal RNA
Rfam family: Bacterial small subunit ribosomal RNA
Source: RNAcentral